Molecule: ribosomal RNA, 512 nt
Filed under: uncultured bacterium
Lineage: Bacteria
Description: bacterial SSU rRNA
Rfam family: Bacterial small subunit ribosomal RNA
Source: RNAcentral
GAUUAUGGCUCAGGAUGAACGCUAGCUACAGGCUUAACACAUGCAAGUCGAGGGGCAGCAUAUCGAAGCUUGCUUUGAUAGAUGGCGACCGGCGCACGGGUGAGUAACGCGUAUCCAACUUCCCAUCACUCAGGGAUAGCCGCCGAAAGGCGAAUUAAUACCUGAUGGUCUCCUUCGCGGACAUCUAACGAGGAGUAAAGAUUUAUUGGUGAUGGAUGGGGAUGCGUCUGAUUAGGUAGUAGGCGGGGUAACGGCCCACCUAGCCGACGAUCAGUAGGGGUUCUGAGAGGAAGGUCCCCCACAUUGGAACUGAGACACGGUCCAAACUCCUACGGGAGGCAGCAGUGAGGAAUAUUGGUCAAUGGACGGAAGUCUGAACCAGCCAAGUAGCGUGCAGGAAUGACGGCCCUAUGGGUUGUAAACUGCUUUUGUGCGGGAAUAAAGUAUGGGACGUGUCCCAUUUUGCAUGUACCGCACGAAUAAGGACCGGCUAAUUCCGUGCCAGCAGCUGC